RNAcentral lists this ribosomal RNA (485 nucleotides) under uncultured bacterium. Its description in RNAcentral is "partial 16S ribosomal RNA". It matches the Rfam family "Bacterial small subunit ribosomal RNA", at positions 28 to 507 of the family's 1533-position model. The record is from RNAcentral.
GAUGAACGCUGGCGGCGUGCUUAACACAUGCAAGUCGAACGGGAUCCAAGGGGUGCUUGCACUUUUUGGUGAGAGUGGCGAACGGGUGAGUAACACGUGAGUAACCUGUCCUUUUCUUUGGGAUAAGCAUUCGAAAGGGUGUUUAAUACCUUAUGUUCUGUCUGCCUCGCAUGGGGUGGGUGGGAAAGGCUUUGGCCGGAUUUGGGUGGGCUCGCGGUCUAUCAGCUUGUUGGUGGGGUGAUGGCUUACCAAGGCUUUGACGGGUAGCCGGCCUGAGAGGGUGGUCGGUCACAUGGGGACUGAGAUACGGCCCAGACUCCUGCGGGAGGCAGCAGUGGGGGAUAUUGCACAAUGGGCGAAAGCCUGAUGCAGCGACGCCGCGUGGGGGAUGAAGGCCUUCGGGUUGUAAACUUCUUUUGCUCUGAACAAGGCAUGCCAGUGGGUGUGUUGAGUGUAGGGGUUGAUUAGCGCCGGCUAACUACGUG